AUCCAUCUGACGAGACCCAAAUAGGAUGAAACGUGCGUCUUGGAU
This is a non-coding RNA of Schistosoma rodhaini, 45 nucleotides long. The record is from Rfam. NCBI's taxonomy places the organism in Eukaryota, Metazoa, Platyhelminthes, Trematoda, Strigeidida, Schistosomatidae.